This 319-nucleotide ribosomal RNA is filed under the name uncultured eukaryote. Its description in RNAcentral is "partial 18S ribosomal RNA". It matches the Rfam family "Eukaryotic small subunit ribosomal RNA", at positions 1470 to 1796 of the family's 1831-position model. The record is from RNAcentral.
CCCUUAGAUGUUCUGGGCAGCACGCGCGCUACAAUGGUCUUCGCAAACGGGUGCAUUCUCGAAGGAGAAUGCCAAUCUUGGAAUCUAUGCCUUGGUCGGGACAGUUGCUUGCAAUUUUUCGACUCGAACCAGGAAUUCCUUGUAAUCGUGAUUCAUCACAUCACGAUGAAUACGUCCCUGCCCUUUGUACACACCGCCCGUCGCUCCUACCGAUCGAAGAGUUAGGUGAAUUGUUUUGAUCGAUAAGAUUUGACUAUGGUCAGCUCUCGUUGUGAAAUUCUGUGAAUCUGACUGUUUAGAGGAAGGAAAAGUCGUAACA